Molecule: long non-coding RNA, 1260 nt
Organism: Bos taurus (domestic cattle)
Lineage: Eukaryota; Metazoa; Chordata; Mammalia; Artiodactyla; Bovidae
Source: Ensembl
AAACAAACGAGCGUCAGGUGAUGAGUCAGAGCCAUUCAACAGCAAUUUAAGACGCUCUGCUGGAAGGACUGCCGCUGGGGCUGCAGCGGGAAGCAAAGGAGAACGCGAGCUGCCGGAACACGGUGCUAAUAUGGAAGACGUUAACUACUUGAUGACCAGGAGCAUGAAGCCCCCAGACCUACUGGCUCCUAAGGAUUGAUCAUGAUAACCCCUGUGACCCCGCCCCAUGACCUCACCAUCAACCAAUCAGAGAACAGUACAUGAACUGGAACUCCCCUUCCUCACCUUCCCUGUGAAAAGGCUUGCCUGAACCUCUUGGGGGGAGUUUGGGGGGGUUGAUCACAAGCUGCCUUGGACUCCUUGCUUGGUGCCCUGCAAACACUGCUGCACUUUCCUUCACCAACACUGUGUCAGUAGAUUGGCUUGACUGCUGGAGGGCAAGCAGAUCCAGGUUUGGUUCAAUAACCCAUCACUGUGUAAUAAAGUAUCCUUCUCAGAGCACUGAGAAGGUCUCAGUCUGCAGGACUGCUUCAGUGAACUUGCAUCAUUUCCACGGAUCAAUCUCUAGGUUCAGGUGUUAAAAGAAUAAAUAAAUCUUGACCUCUGUCACCUGCCACUGGAGAAGAAAGGAAGCUUAAUACUUGGUGACAGCAUUAUCAGCAUCAGUACCUUGUCCUGCAAAGGCGGUGCUAGUGGUAAAGAACCUGCCUGCCAAUGCGGGAGAUGUAAGAAAUGCGGGUUCAAUUCCUGGGUGGGAAAGAUCCACUGGAGGAGGGCAUGGCAACCCACUCCAGUAUUCUUGCCUGGAGAAUCCCAUGGACAGAGAAGCCUGGCGGGCUAUGGUUCACAGGGUCACAAAGAGUCGGACGUGACUGAAUCGACUGAGCACACAGAACCUGCAAAACUCAGCCAAAGAAAUCUUGCUCCCCCCACCAAGUUCCGUUGAAAGUGGGUGACUUAAUAUCAGGAAAAUGUAGUUUUGUGACCACAAGAGAAAUUGUUUCAACAGUGAAAUGUCAAAUUCAAAAAAUUAACUUCUAAAUUUUUUAAUGUAACCUUAUAAGAUAAUCAAAUUGUUUUUGAGGAUAUGUCAGAUUUUUUUUGUAACCCAUGAACUUGGUCUUUGAUAUCCUGCUUCAGCAUUAACCAGGUAUCAAUUUUAACACCCAGUCACACCCGUUCAGUGAAAAUGAAUAUUCCAUGCAUCUGUAGUCACUGAGGACUCUGAGUCUGUCAGACUGAGUCUUCACAGUUCUGAAU